RNAcentral lists this ribosomal RNA (549 nucleotides) under Trichoderma harzianum. Its description in RNAcentral is "eukaryotic LSU rRNA". The stretch from base 161 to 314 matches the Rfam family "5.8S ribosomal RNA". Lineage: Eukaryota; Fungi; Ascomycota; Sordariomycetes; Hypocreales; Hypocreaceae. The record is from RNAcentral.
CUGUUGCCUCGGCGGGAUCUCUGCCCCGGGUGCGUCGCAGCCCCGGACCAAGGCGCCCGCCGGAGGACCAACCAAAACUCUUAUUGUAUACCCCCUCGCGGGUUUUUUUAUAAUCUGAGCCUUCUCGGCGCCUCUCGUAGGCGUUUCGAAAAUGAAUCAAAACUUUCAACAACGGAUCUCUUGGUUCUGGCAUCGAUGAAGAACGCAGCGAAAUGCGAUAAGUAAUGUGAAUUGCAGAAUUCAGUGAAUCAUCGAAUCUUUGAACGCACAUUGCGCCCGCCAGUAUUCUGGCGGGCAUGCCUGUCCGAGCGUCAUUUCAACCCUCGAACCCCUCCGGGGGGUCGGCGUUGGGGAUCGGCCCUCCCUUAGCGGGUGGCCGUCUCCGAAAUACAGUGGCGGUCUCGCCGCAGCCUCUCCUGCGCAGUAGUUUGCACACUCGCAUCGGGAGCGCGGCGCGUCCACAGCCGUUAAACACCCAACUUCUGAAAUGUUGACCUCGGAUCAGGUAGGAAUACCCGCUGAACUUAAGCAUAUCAAUAAGGCGGAGGA